UACGAAGGGGGCUAGCGUUGUUCGGAUUUACUGGGCGUAAAGCGCACGUAGGCGGGUCGUUAAGUCAGGGGUGAAAUCCCGGAGCUCAACUCCGGAACUGCCUUUGAUACUGGCGACCUUGAGGCUGGAAGAGGUUAGUGGAAUUCCCAGUGUAGAGGUGAAAUUCGUAGAUAUUGGGAAGAACACCAGUGGCGAAGGCGGCUAACUGGUCCAGCACUGACGCUGAGGUGCGAAAGCGUGGGGAGCAAACAGG
Molecule: ribosomal RNA, 253 nt
Filed under: uncultured bacterium
Lineage: Bacteria
Description: partial 16S ribosomal RNA
Rfam family: Bacterial small subunit ribosomal RNA
Source: RNAcentral